Juglans regia (Persian walnut) is the source of this 677-nucleotide long non-coding RNA. RefSeq lists it as uncharacterized. The transcript is spliced from 2 exons. The record is from RefSeq and is a predicted model, not a curated record. NCBI's taxonomy places the organism in Eukaryota, Viridiplantae, Streptophyta, Magnoliopsida, Fagales, Juglandaceae.
CACAAGCACCACAUGAUACAAAUCGGAAUCAUUUUCCAAAUCGCUUUCAUUUGUUGCACACCUCGAAUGGGGGUCCGGCAUGCCAACAUUUCCACUACAGAUUUUGGCAUCACCCACGCUAGGUCCAUUCUAUUAAGCACCUCAUACCAGAGAGACCUAGCAACCUCACAAUGUAAAAAUGUAGAUGAUUCACCGACUCACCCCCACUUUUACACAUGCAGCUCCAGUCUGUAAUGAUUAUCCUCCUCUUUCUCAGAUUAUCCAUAGCGAGAAUCUUGCCUAAGGAUGUUGUCCACACAAAAAAGGAAGCUUUGGGAGUCCACCACAAACUAUCUUCCUGCUGGACAUUCGGACGACAAGAAUACAAGAGACUAUACAAAUCUACAAAACUCUCCACCUCCCAGUCUUGUGCCGCCCUGAUGAAAUUGAUAUUCCAGUGUGUUCUCCCACCCGCACUUCUCAUAACCUCUGCCACUGUAGCAUCUUUAUCACUUGCAAUCAGGAAAAGUAAAGGAAACAAAUUUUGAAGGGCACUGUUACCACACCAAGCAUCCUUCCAAAAUCCUACCCCCACCCUGAAAGAAAAAGAAAAAAAAGAAAAAAAUGGUAAUUAAUUACUAGUUACCAGAAUCAAACCCAAAUCUUUUGUCAAAAAAAUGUUGCGGAGACGGGAAAAA